RNAcentral lists this ribosomal RNA (700 nucleotides) under uncultured bacterium. RNAcentral's name for it is "bacterial SSU rRNA". It matches the Rfam family "Bacterial small subunit ribosomal RNA", at positions 59 to 772 of the family's 1533-position model. The record is from RNAcentral.
CAGUCGAACGGUGAAGCCAAGCUUGCUUGGUGGAUCAGUGGCGAACGGGUGAGUAACACGUGAGCAACCUGCCCUGGACUCUGGGAUAAGCGCUGGAAACGGUGUCUAAUACUGGAUAUGAGCUCUCAUCGCAUGGUGGGGGUUGGAAAGAUUUUUCGGUCUGGGAUGGGCUCGCGGCCUAUCAGCUUGUUGGUGAGGUAAUGGCUCACCAAGGCGUCGACGGGUAGCCGGCCUGAGAGGGUGACCGGCCACACUGGGACUGAGACACGGCCCAGACUCCUACGGGAGGCAGCAGUGGGGAAUAUUGCACAAUGGGCGGAAGCCUGAUGCAGCAACGCCGCGUGAGGGAUGACGGCCUUCGGGUUGUAAACCUCUUUUAGCAGGGAAGAAGCGAGAGUGACGGUACCUGCAGAAAAAGCGCCGGCUAACUACGUGCCAGCAGCCGCGGUAAUACGUAGGGCGCAAGCGUUAUCCGGAAUUAUUGGGCGUAAAGAGCUCGUAGGCGGUUUGUCGCGUCUGCUGUGAAAUCCCGAGGCUCAACCUCGGGCCUGCAGUGGGUACGGGCAGACUAGAGUGCGGUAGGGGAGAUUGGAAUUCCUGGUGUAGCGGUGGAAUGCGCAGAUAUCAGGAGGAACACCGAUGGCGAAGGCAGAUCUCUGGGCCGUAACUGACGCUGAGGAGCGAAAGGGUGGGGAGCAAA